Molecule: non-coding RNA, 62 nt
Organism: Erwinia tracheiphila
Lineage: Bacteria; Pseudomonadati; Pseudomonadota; Gammaproteobacteria; Enterobacterales; Erwiniaceae
Source: Rfam
AGCAGGGAGUGACUAAACCAAAAAAGAGUGAGCCGGCGGCGCAGGGAUCGCAGUCGGCUGGC